AACUCCUUUAAGUUAGUUCAGAGAGGCUAACAAGGCGGUAGCUUAUAUUGUAAGGUUCAUCCCAUCAGAAGUGGGGUGUAUUGUGCGCAUGCGGGCGGCCAAACUGUUAGGUUCAGUUUGGCCGCUUUUGUU
This is a regulatory RNA element of 132 nucleotides. It matches the Rfam family "PyrR binding site". Rfam says of the family: This family represents the PyrR binding site and terminator structure. This RNA structure is found upstream of a variety of genes involved in pyrimidine biosynthesis and transport. The record is from Rfam.